RNAcentral lists this non-coding RNA (1450 nucleotides) under Ricinus communis (castor bean). RNAcentral describes it as "Eukaryotic large subunit ribosomal RNA". It matches the Rfam family "Eukaryotic large subunit ribosomal RNA", at positions 1889 to 3399 of the family's 3401-position model. The record is from Rfam by way of RNAcentral. Lineage: Eukaryota; Viridiplantae; Streptophyta; Magnoliopsida; Malpighiales; Euphorbiaceae.
GAUAGAACAAUGUAGGCAAGGGAAGUCGGCAAAAUGGAUCCAUAACCUCGGGAAAAGGAUUGGCUCUAAGGGCUGCGCCCGAGGGUCCCAAUCCCGAACCUAUCGCUUGUCGGUGAACUGUUCGAGCUGCUCUUAAGGCGAGAGCGGGUCGACGCGUGUCGGCCAGGGAACGGACUGGGAACAGCCUCUUCAGAGGCCUUCCCUAGGCGUUGAACAAUCGACUAAGAACUGGUACGGACAAGGGGAAUCUGACUGUUUAAUUAAAACAAAGCAUUUUGAGGAUGCUCACGCAAUAUGAUUUCUGCCCAGUGCUCUGAAUGUCAAAGUGAAGAAAUUCUACCAAGCGCGGGUAAACAGCGGGAGUAACUAUGACUCUCUUAAGGUAGCCAAAUGCCUCGUCAUCUAAUUAGUGACGCGCAUGAAUGGAUUAACGAGAUGCCCACCGUCCCUGUCUACUAUCCAACAAAACCAGGGACAAGGGAACAGGCUUGGGGGAAUCAGUAAGGAAAGAAGACCCUGUUGAGCUUAACUCUAGUCCGACUUUAUGAAAUUACUUAAGAGGUGUAGGAUAAGUGGGAGCCUUAACCGGCAACGGUGAAAUACCACUACUUUUAACAUUAUUUUACUUAUUCCAUGAAUCAGAAGUAGGGCUACGCCCUUCUUUUUGGACCCAAGUUUGGCUGGGGUGGCACAUCUGUUAAAAGAUAACGCAGGUGUCCUAAGAUGAGCUCAACGAGAAUAGAAAUCUGGUGUGGAACAAAAGGGUAAAAGCUCGUUUAAUUCUAAUUUCCAGUAUGAAUACAAACUACGAAAGCAUAGCCUAUCGAUCCUUUAGACCUUUGGAAUUUGAAACUAGAGGUAUCAGAAAAGUUACCACAGGGAUAACUGACAUGUGGUAGCCAAGCGUUCAUAGCAAUGUUGCUUUUUAAUCCUUCGAUGUUGACUCUUCCUAUCAUUGUGAAGCAGAAUUCACCAAGUGUUGGAUUGUUCACCCAUGAAUAGGGAAUAUGAGCUAGGUUUAGACAGUUAUGAGACCGGUUAGUUUUACCCUACUAAUGAUUAUGUUGCAAUGCGAAUUCAACCUAGUACGAGAGGAACAGUUAAUUCGCAUAACUGGUCAUUGCGCUUGGUUGAAAAGCCAGUGGUGCGAAGCUACCUUGCGCUGUAUUAUGACUGAACGACUCUAAGUCAAAAUCCGGGCCAGAAUCGACGCAUUGUCCACCGGUCGUUUGCCAACCAGCAGUAGGGGCCCUCCAGCCCCCAAAAGCAUGUUUCAUUGGCUAAGCCCUUACGGUGGACGAGCCACGCAGGCCGCCUUGAAUUACAAUUUUCAUCGGGCGGCGGACUGAAUCCUUUGCAGACGACUUAAAUACGCGAUAGGGUAUUGUAAGUGGCAGAGUGGCCUUGCUGUCACGAUACACUGAGAUUUAGCCCUUCGUUGCUCUGAUUC